This 253-nucleotide ribosomal RNA is filed under the name uncultured bacterium. RNAcentral describes it as "partial 16S ribosomal RNA". It matches the Rfam family "Bacterial small subunit ribosomal RNA", at positions 524 to 776 of the family's 1533-position model. The record is from RNAcentral.
UACGUAGGGUGCGAGCGUUGUCCGGAUUUAUUGGGCGUAAAGGGUGCGUAGGCGGUCGGGUAAGUCUGAUGUGAAAUCUCACAGCUUAACUGUGAAACUGCAUUGGAUACUAUCCGGCUCGAGGAAUGGAGGGGAGACUGGAAUACUUGGUGUAGCAGUGAAAUGCGUAGAUAUCAAGUGGAACACCAGUGGCGAAGGCGAGUCUCUGGACAUUUCCUGACGCUGAGGCACGAAAGCCAGGGGAGCAAACGGG